UGGCGGGGAAAUCUCAGAGGGAGUUAUUCGCAUUUCUGCAACUGUUGCUCUUUCAGUUUAAUCCCUUAUGUGUGUUAAACCAUGCGCAUUAAAAUGAGUUUUCCCUUCGUAGUAUUUCUCUUCUGAACGUCUCCGAGGUCUUUUCUGCCCUAAAGCUCGAGAGAGGGAGAGUCUCACAGCAGAAAAACACACCGCGUGUCAGAUGUUCUCAUGAUGGACAGCGUUUGUAUUUAAGCCAGGCUGCUUGCGUUUAUGCAACGAUCGGCUUCUUGCGUUUAGCUCAUGUAAAUUUGUCAUUCUGAUCACGCACACAGCAGCAGGACGGAGGAAAUAGUAACAAAUAAAUAGUGUGCUCACGGAAAGUGAGGACUGCAGUGGCAAUGGUUGUAAUCACAAUAGUACAUGAGCAGGGUAUAUAUGCAAUAGAGAGAAAGCCAUUUCGUUAAUAAAUCAGCAUUAUGGAAGCUCCUUUUGCUUUUUUGUAACUCUGCCAACACUGAAAUAAGCAUACCCGAGCUGUUCUAUGAUUCCUCUGGAUUAUUCCUGUAAAUUCCUGAUGGGACAAAGUGCAUCUGCUGCCAUCAUGGAGCGUGUGCGUCCAGUAGAAGGGGGAGGUCCUCAGCCUGCGCCGCACAGCAACACACACACACACGUUUCUCCAGACGCAUUGGUGUUUGCUUUGGCUCUCCCGUGUCUCCAGCAGAGGGGUCAUCAGAAGCAGUCUCCUGCCUGAAGCCCGGCGGUCGUGAUCCGAGGCCCGGCCCCCUUCUCCGGGGGGACUCAAGUCAGAGACGAGCAGGAACACGAGCAGCAGCCACGUCCUCAUCGUGCUGAGACUGAUAACAGGGACGCGGGGCGUGAGAGGCGGCUCUAUUGGGGCAGGUGCAUCUCCACAGUACGUUGCCCAACCCUGGCUGGGUCCUGCGUUUUUGCAUUUUAUCAGAUAUUAUCUAUAAGACACCUACUGCUGAGCUCCGGAGGACAGACGGCGUGCGUUAUUGUCUCCGUGCCUUCGGUGAAGCAGCAGCCUCAAGCAAAACAACGAAAUGGGGAACCUCAUGAACACGGCGUGCCAGAUGAGCAACUACAGCAAAAGGAACGUGCGCGUGUACGUCACGGAGAAGGCCCUGCCGCUCGACGCCUUCAUCGCGCCGCUGGCCGGAGGCGAGCAGACCGUCCCGGCCGUGCACCCCGGGGACAAGAAGUUCAGCUUCCGGGCGGAGGUGGAAUGCGUCCGCGUGCUGGCCUCUCAGACCCAGCAGGUGCCCUGGGAGGCUCGCCGCUUCGUGUCCGUCUUCGUGGAGGACGCAGACGACGAGGCGAUCUGCUCCAAGCAGAUCAUGCACAACAUGGAGCCCAGUGCCCCGGUGACCGUGCUGCUCUACGACCUGUAGGUCCACCGCCGCCUUCGUGCACCGCGUUGCUACCUGUAGCGGCUCUAAAUAAAGCUUGUUGAUGCAACCACACGUGGGGUGUUUUCGUGCAUUGCUGUCGACAUGAAAUAAAUGUCUUUUCCCGCCUUCCCGUCUGUCAUUUCGGAGGUAAAAUGAUGUUCCGCGGCGUCACUGGCCUUGCGUGACCGGCCAUCUGUUAUCACCCGCCUCGCUCCCCGAUCUCAGGGUUGUUGCUGAACAGCGCAGGCUUUGUUCCCGCUGCAGGGCUGUGCGUUAUUAG
Long non-coding RNA from Gasterosteus aculeatus aculeatus (three-spined stickleback), 1674 nucleotides. The record is from Ensembl. NCBI's taxonomy places the organism in Eukaryota, Metazoa, Chordata, Actinopteri, Perciformes, Gasterosteidae.